CACGCAGGGGGCGAGCGUUGUCCGGAAUUAUUGGGCGUAAAGAGCUCGUAGGCGGUUUGUCGCGUCUGCUGUGAAAUCCCGAGGCUCAACCUCGGGUCUGCAGUGGGUACGGGCAGACUGGAGUGCGGUAGGGGAGAAUGGAAUUCCUGGUGUAGCGGUGGAAUGCGCAGAUAUCAGGAGGAACACCGAUGGCGAAGGCAGUUCUCUGGGCCGUAACUGACGCUGAGGAGCGAAAGCGUGGGGAGCGAACAGG
RNAcentral lists this ribosomal RNA (253 nucleotides) under uncultured bacterium. Its description in RNAcentral is "partial 16S ribosomal RNA". It matches the Rfam family "Bacterial small subunit ribosomal RNA", at positions 524 to 776 of the family's 1533-position model. The record is from RNAcentral.